ACGGCUCAGUAACACGUGGAUAACCUACCCUUAGGACAGGGAUAAACCCGGGAAACUGGGUAUAAUACCCGAUAGAUCUCGAAUGCUGGAAUGCAUCGAGAUCGAAAGCUCCGGCGCCUAAGGAUGGAUCUGCGGCCUAUCAGGUAGUAGUGGGUGUAGCGUACCUACUAGCCUACGACGGGUACGGGUUGUGGGAGCAAGAGCCCGGAGAUGGAUUCUGAGACACGAAUCCAGGCCCUACGGGGUGCAGCAGGCGCGAAAACUUUACAAUGCCGGCAACGGCGAUAAGGGGACCUCGAGUGCCAGGUUACAAAUCUGGCUGUCGAGAUGCCUAAAAAGCAUUUCUUAGCAAGGGCCGGGCAAGACCGGUGCCAGCCGCCGCGGUAACACCGGCGGCUCGAGUGGUAACCGUUAUUAUUGGGUCUAAAGGGUCUGUAGCCGGCCGGAUAAGUCUCUUGGGAAAUCUGGCAGCUUAACUGUCAGGCUUUCAGGAGAUACUGUCUGGCUCGAGGCCGGGAGAGGUGAGAGGUACUUCAGGGGUAGGGGUGAAAUCUUGUAAUCCUUGAAGGACCACCAGUGGCGAAGGCGUCUCACCAGAACGGACCUGACGGCAAGGGACGAAAGCUAGGGGCACGAACCGGAUUAGAUACCCGGGUAGUCCUAGCCGUAAACGAUACUCGCUAGGUGUCAGGCAUGGCGCGACCGUGUCUGGUGCCGCAGGGAAGCCGUGAAGCGAGCCACCUGGGAAGUACGGCCGCAAGGCUGAAACUUAAAGGAAUUGGCGGGGGAGCAC
Molecule: ribosomal RNA, 793 nt
Filed under: uncultured Methanotrichaceae archaeon
Lineage: Archaea; Methanobacteriati; Methanobacteriota; Methanomicrobia; Methanotrichales; Methanotrichaceae
Description: bacterial SSU rRNA
Rfam family: Archaeal small subunit ribosomal RNA
Source: RNAcentral